RNAcentral lists this transfer RNA (72 nucleotides) under Rhinogobius wuyanlingensis. RNAcentral describes it as "tRNA-Val". It matches the Rfam family "tRNA". Rfam says of the family: Transfer RNA (tRNA) molecules are approximately 80 nucleotides in length. Their secondary structure includes four short double-helical elements and three loops (D, anti-codon, and T loops). Lineage: Eukaryota; Metazoa; Chordata; Actinopteri; Gobiiformes; Gobiidae. The record is from RNAcentral.
CAGAGCGUAGCUAAAACAGUAUAGCACCUCCCUUACACCGAGAAGACACCCGUGCAAAUCGGGUCGCGCUGA